RNAcentral lists this ribosomal RNA (452 nucleotides) under uncultured bacterium. Its description in RNAcentral is "bacterial SSU rRNA". It matches the Rfam family "Bacterial small subunit ribosomal RNA", at positions 355 to 796 of the family's 1533-position model. The record is from RNAcentral.
UCAGGAAUAUUGCGCAAUGGAGGAAACUCUGACGCAGCGACGCCGCGUGGGUGAUGAAGGCCUUCGGGUCGUAAAGCCCUGUCGGAGGGGAAGAAAAGCCUGCUGGCUAAUAUCCAGUAGGCAUCUGACGGUACCCUCAAAGGAAGCACCGGCUAACUCCGUGCCAGCAGCCGCGGUAAGACGGAGGGUGCAAGCGUUGUUCAGAUUGACUGGGCGUAAAGGGCGUGUAGGCGGUCGGUCAAGUCCGAUGUGAAAGCCCGGGGCUCAGCCCCGGAAGGGCAUCGGAAACUAGCCGGCUGGAGCGCGAUAGAGGAGGGUAGAAUUCCUGGUGUAGCGGUGAAAUGCGUAGAUAUCAGGAGGAAUACCGGCGGCGAAGGCGGCCCUCUGGAUCGUUGCUGACGCUGAGACGCGAAAGCGUGGGGAGCAAACAGGAUUAGAUACCCCCGUAGUCC